UACGAAGGGGGCUAGCGUUGCUCGGACUCACUGGGCGUAAAGCGCACGUAGGCGGAUCGUUAAGUCAGGGGUGAAAUCCUGGAGCUCAACUCCAGAACUGCCUUUGAUACUGGCGACCUUGAGUUCGGGAGAGGUGAGUGGAACUGCGAGUGUAGAGGUGAAAUUCGUAGAUAUUCGCAAGAACACCAGUGGCGAAGGCGGCUCACUGGCCCAAUACUGACGCUGAGGUGCGAAAGCGUGGGGAGCAAACAGG
This 253-nucleotide ribosomal RNA is filed under the name uncultured bacterium. RNAcentral describes it as "partial 16S ribosomal RNA". It matches the Rfam family "Bacterial small subunit ribosomal RNA", at positions 524 to 776 of the family's 1533-position model. The record is from RNAcentral.